RNAcentral lists this ribosomal RNA (253 nucleotides) under uncultured bacterium. RNAcentral describes it as "partial 16S ribosomal RNA". It matches the Rfam family "Bacterial small subunit ribosomal RNA", at positions 524 to 776 of the family's 1533-position model. The record is from RNAcentral.
UACGGAGGGGGCUAGCGUUGUUCGGAAUUACUGGGCGUAAAGCGCACGUAGGCGGCUUUGCAAGUUAGAGGUGAAAGCCCGGGGCUCAACUCCGGAAUUGCCUUUAAAACUGCAUCGCUAGAAUUGUGGAGAGGUAGGUGGAAUUCCGAGUGUAGAGGUGAAAUUCGUAGAUAUUCGGAAGAACACCAGUGGCGAAGGCGACUUACUGGACACAUAUUGACGCUGAGGUGCGAAAGCGUGGGGAGCAAACAGG